AUUGAACGCUGGCGGCAGGCCUAACACAUGCAAGUCGAACGGUAACAGGAAGCAGCUUGCUGCUUCGCUGACGAGUGGCGGACGGGUGAGUAAUGUCUGGGAAGCUGCCUGAUGGAGGGGGAUAACUACUGGAAACGGUAGCUAAUACCGCAUAAUGUCGCAAGACCAAAGAGGGGGACCUUCGGGCCUCUUGCCAUCGGAUGUGCCCAGAUGGGAUUAGCUUGUUGGUGGGGUAACGGCACACCAAGGCGACGAUCCCUAGCUGGUCUGAGAGGAUGACCAGCCACCCUGGAACUGAGACACGGUCCAGACUCCUACGGGAGGCAGCAGUGGGGAAUAUUGCACAAUGGGCGCAAGCCUGAUGCAGCCAUGCCGCGUGUAUGAAGAAGGCCUUCGGGUUGUAAAGUACUUUCAGCGGGGAGGAAGGGAGUAAAGUUAAUACCUUUGCUCAUUGACGUUACCCGCAGAAGAAGCACCGGCUAACUCCGUG
This 490-nucleotide ribosomal RNA is filed under the name uncultured bacterium. RNAcentral's name for it is "partial 16S ribosomal RNA". It matches the Rfam family "Bacterial small subunit ribosomal RNA", at positions 30 to 507 of the family's 1533-position model. The record is from RNAcentral.